GACGAACGCUGGCGGCGUGCUUAACACAUGCAAGUCGAACGGAAAGGCCCUGCUUUUGUGGGGUGCUCGGGUGGCGAACGGGUGAGUAACACGUGAGUAAUCUGCCCUUGACUUUGGGAUAACUUCAGGAAACUGGGGCUAAUACCGGAUAGGAGCUCCUGCUGCAUGGUGGGGGUUGGAAAGUUUCGGCGGUUGGGGAUGGACUCGCGGCUUAUCAGCUUGUUGGUGGGGUAGUGGCUUACCAAGGCUUUGACGGGUAGCCGGCCUGAGAGGGUGACCGGCCACAUUGGGACUGAGAUACGGCCCAGACUCCUACGGGAGGCAGCAGUGGGGAAUAUUGCACAAUGGGCGGAAGCCUGAUGCAGCAACGCCGCGUGCGGGAUGACGGCCUUCGGGUUGUAAACCGCUUUCGCCUGUGACGAAGCGUGAGUGACGGUAAUGGGUAAAGAAGCACCGGCUAACUACGUG
This 468-nucleotide ribosomal RNA is filed under the name uncultured bacterium. RNAcentral describes it as "partial 16S ribosomal RNA". It matches the Rfam family "Bacterial small subunit ribosomal RNA", at positions 28 to 507 of the family's 1533-position model. The record is from RNAcentral.